Molecule: ribosomal RNA, 464 nt
Filed under: uncultured bacterium
Lineage: Bacteria
Description: partial 16S ribosomal RNA
Rfam family: Bacterial small subunit ribosomal RNA
Source: RNAcentral
GACGAACGCUGGCGGCGUGCUUAACACAUGCAAGUCGAACGGAAAGGCCCCCUUGUGGGGUACUCGAGUGGCGAACGGGUGAGUAACACGUGAGUACCUACCCUUGACUUUGGGAUAACUUCAGGAAACUGGGGCUAAUACCGGAUAGGAGCUCCUGCUGCAUGGUGGGGGUUGGAAAGUUUCGGCGGUUGGGGAUGGGCUCGCGGCUUAUCAGCUUGUUGGUGGGGUAGUGGCUCACCAAGGCUUUGACGGGUAGCCGGCCUGAGAGGGUGACCGGCCACAUUGGGACUGAGAUACGGCCCAGACUCCUACGGGAGGCAGCAGUGGGGAAUAUUGCACAAUGGGCGGAAGCCUGAUGCAGCAACGCCGCGUGCGGGAUGACGGCCUUCGGGUCGUAAACCGCUUUCGCCUGUGACGAAGCGUGAGUGACGGUAAUGGGUAAAGAAGCACCGGCUAACUACGUG